CGUGUAGGCGGUCAUGCAAGUCGGAUGUGAAAUCCCACGGCUCAACCAUGGAAGAGCAUCGGAAACUGCAUGACUAGAGUCCUGGAGAGGAAGGUGGAAUACUCGGUGUAGAGGUGAAAUGCGUAGAUAUCGGGAGGAACACCUGUGGCGAAAGCGGCUCACUGGACCACAACUGACGCUGAUGCGCGAAAGCUAGGGGAGCAAACA
This 207-nucleotide ribosomal RNA is filed under the name uncultured bacterium. RNAcentral's name for it is "partial 16S ribosomal RNA". It matches the Rfam family "Bacterial small subunit ribosomal RNA", at positions 568 to 774 of the family's 1533-position model. The record is from RNAcentral.